This 426-nucleotide ribosomal RNA is filed under the name uncultured Pseudomonas sp. Its description in RNAcentral is "bacterial SSU rRNA". It matches the Rfam family "Bacterial small subunit ribosomal RNA", at positions 356 to 774 of the family's 1533-position model. Lineage: Bacteria; Pseudomonadati; Pseudomonadota; Gammaproteobacteria; Pseudomonadales; Pseudomonadaceae. The record is from RNAcentral.
GGGGAAUAUUGGACAAUGGGCGAAAGCCUGAUCCAGCCAUGCCGCGUGUGUGAAGAAGGUCUUCGGAUUGUAAAGCACUUUAAGUUGGGAGGAAGGGCAGUUACCUAAUACGUGAUUGUUUUGACGUUACCGACAGAAUAAGCACCGGCUAACUCUGUGCCAGCAGCCGCGGUAAUACAGAGGGUGCAAGCGUUAAUCGGAAUUACUGGGCGUAAAGCGCGCGUAGGUGGUUAGUUAAGUUGGAUGUGAAAUCCCCGGGCUCAACCUGGGAACUGCAUUGAAAACUGACUGACUAGAGUAUGGUAGAGGGGGGUGGAAUUUCCUGUGUAGCGGUGAAAUGCGUAGGUAUAGGAAGGAACACCAGUGGCGAAGGCAGCCCCCUGGGCCUGUACUGACGCUCAUGCACGAAAGCGUGGGGAGCAAACA